ACCUCUUCCUGGGCAACUGAUUCAUCAUAUAGAGUGCAGUCUCCGCUUCUCUGCUUGUAAAACUUAUAAGGUUGUCUGCCAACGCUAACUGGCCAGCUCUGACAGGAGGUGCGUGGCCCAGGAGGAGCCAUCAGGCCAGUUCUCUGGGAUACUGCUGUGUCUCCAGCUCUGCAGUUUGCUCUUCGUCACUCAGCGGCAGACGGAGAGGCAGACACGAGCCCCUUGUGAGCCCUCCUCCUUACCGUCAUCUCACAAUGCUCUGAAAUAAGGAGGCAAAUGGCUGAGGUCCCCUCAGUUGUAGAUGUGAUUGAGUUCUAUCUACCAGAAGCAUAUGCCUCCUGGAAGCCUGGUUCUAACACCUCCCACAAAAUCCUUCAAGCACUUUUUUCUGUUCCAAGGUUUGCUUAUGGGGGACCCAGUGAAGUGCUUCAGAGCCCUAGAGAUUUGCUGAGUCAUAUGAGGGGUCAGCAAACUUUUCCUGUAAAGGGUCAGAUAAUAAACAUUUUAAGCUUUGUAGACUGUA
This 523-nucleotide long non-coding RNA is filed under the name Homo sapiens (human). RNAcentral describes it as "long intergenic non-protein coding RNA 3002". Lineage: Eukaryota; Metazoa; Chordata; Mammalia; Primates; Hominidae. The record is from RNAcentral.